GAUGAAGAACGUAGCGAAAUGCGAUAAGUAAUGCGAAUUGCAGAAUUUCCGUGAGUCAUCGAAUCUUUGAACGCACAUUGCGCCCGCCAGUAUUCUGACGGGCAUGCCUGUUCGAGCGUCAUUUACACCCCUCGGGCCCUUCUGCGGCCCGGCGUUGGGGCGUUGCGCGGCACCCCCGCGCAAGCCCUGAAAUGUAGUGGCGGGCCGUCCCGCGUCUCCUUUGCGUAGUCACCAUACCUCGCUCUGGGACGUGGCCGGUUUCCAGCCGUGAAACACCCCCUUUUACAAGGUUGACCUCGGAUCAGGUAGGGAUACCCGCUGAACUUAAGCAUAUCAAUAAGCGGAGGA
This 348-nucleotide unclassified non-coding RNA is filed under the name soil metagenome. RNAcentral describes it as "partial contains 5.8S ribosomal RNA, internal transcribed spacer 2, and large subunit ribosomal RNA". The stretch from base 1 to 121 matches the Rfam family "5.8S ribosomal RNA", at positions 35 to 154 of the family's 154-position model. The record is from RNAcentral.